AUUGAACGCUGGCGGCAGGCCUAACACAUGCAAGUCGAACGAGCGGCGGACGGGUGAGUAAUGUCUGGGAAACUGCCUGAUGGAGGGGGAUAACUACUGGAAACGGUAGCUAAUACCGCAUACUAUCAGAUGUGCCCAGAUGGGAUUAGCUUGUUGGUGGGGUAACGGCUCACCAAGGCGACGAUCCCUAGCUGGUCUGAGAGGAUGAUCAGCCACACUGGGACUGAGACACGGUCCAGACUCCUACGGGAGGCAGCAGUGGGGAAUAGUGCACAAUGGGCGCAAGCCUGAUGCAGCCAUGCCGCGUGUAUGAAGAAGGCCUUCGGGUUGUAAAGUACUUUCAGCGGGGAGGCGUUACCCGAAGAAGAAGCACCGGCUAACUCCGUGCCAGCCGCCGCGGUAAUUC
Molecule: ribosomal RNA, 406 nt
Filed under: uncultured bacterium
Lineage: Bacteria
Description: partial 16S ribosomal RNA
Rfam family: Bacterial small subunit ribosomal RNA
Source: RNAcentral